CAAUAGCGUAUAUUAAAGUUGUUGCAGUUAAAAAGCUCGUAGUUGGAUUUCUGGUGGGGGCCGCUGGUCCGCUGCGAAAGCGGCGUGUACCGAUGCGUGCCUACCGCCAUCCUCGGGUGGAGUGCGUGUGGGAUUAAUUUCUCGUGCGUAGGAUGCCCGUCGUUUACUGUGAAAAAAUUAGAGUGUUCAAAGCAGGCUUUGGCCGUCGAAUACAUUAGCAUGGAAUAAUAAGAUAGGACUUGGCUCUAUUUUGUUGGUUUGUACGCCAAGUAAUGAUUAAUAGGGAUAGUUGGGGGUAUUCGUAUUCAAUUGUCAGAGGUGAAAUUCUUAGAUUUAUGGAAGACGAACUACUGCGAAAGCAUUUACCAAGGAUGUUUUCAUUAA
Molecule: ribosomal RNA, 384 nt
Filed under: uncultured eukaryote
Lineage: Eukaryota
Description: partial 18S ribosomal RNA
Rfam family: Eukaryotic small subunit ribosomal RNA
Source: RNAcentral